RNAcentral lists this ribosomal RNA (253 nucleotides) under uncultured bacterium. RNAcentral's name for it is "partial 16S ribosomal RNA". It matches the Rfam family "Bacterial small subunit ribosomal RNA", at positions 524 to 776 of the family's 1533-position model. The record is from RNAcentral.
UACGUAGGGUGCGAGCGUUGUCCGGAAUUACUGGGCGUAAAGAGCUCGUAGGUGGUUUGUCGCGUUGUUCGUGAAAACCUGAGGCUUAACCUUGGGCGUGCGGGCGAUACGGGCAGACUGGAGUACUGCAGGGGAGACUGGAAUUCCUGGUGUAGCGGUGGAAUGCGCAGAUAUCAGGAGGAACACCGGUGGCGAAGGCGGGUCUCUGGGCAGUAACUGACGCUGAGGAGCGAAAGCUAGGGGAGCAAACGGG